Molecule: non-coding RNA, 87 nt
Organism: Aspergillus viridinutans
Lineage: Eukaryota; Fungi; Ascomycota; Eurotiomycetes; Eurotiales; Aspergillaceae
Source: the annotation of a RefSeq genome assembly
GGCAAGGUGGCGGAGUGGUUUAAGGCGUUUGAUUUGAAUAUGAAUAUCAAAUUCAUUCGUGAACCAGGUCGAAUCCCUGCCUUGUCG